Molecule: transfer RNA, 58 nt
Filed under: Paracoccaceae bacterium
Lineage: Bacteria; Pseudomonadati; Pseudomonadota; Alphaproteobacteria; Rhodobacterales; Paracoccaceae
Description: Rhodobacteraceae bacterium (activated sludge metagenome) tRNA-Met
Rfam family: tRNA
About the family: Transfer RNA (tRNA) molecules are approximately 80 nucleotides in length. Their secondary structure includes four short double-helical elements and three loops (D, anti-codon, and T loops). Further hydrogen bonds mediate the characteristic L-shaped molecular structure. tRNAs have two regions of fundamental functional importance: the anti-codon, which is responsible for specific mRNA codon recognition, and the 3' end, to which the tRNAs corresponding amino acid is attached (by aminoacyl-tRNA synthetases). tRNAs cope with the degeneracy of the genetic code in two manners: having more than one tRNA (with a specific anti-codon) for a particular amino acid; and 'wobble' base-pairing, i.e. permitting non-standard base-pairing at the 3rd anti-codon position.
Source: RNAcentral
AGCUCAAUGGUCAGAGCAGGGCGCUCAUAACGCCUUGGUUGGGGGUUCGAGUCCCUCC